GGAACUUUAUCUUUCCAGAGGAUGGCACUUGACGAGGCCAAGCGAGCGAGAAACAUCGAGUAGAUAGUACUAUUACAUACACUGGAGAAAGAUGGGAGGAGGAGCCAUGCAUACUGACCUUCCUAUGAUCCAUUCCAACACUUCUUUAUCUGCCCUCCCCUCUCUAUCUCCUCCACCUCCUUCUACUAGUCUUAAUUUCCCAGUCUCUGUCAAUAACAUGGCAUCCCUUCCACAAUCUUUUAUUGCUUCUUCUUCUUCUUCUUAUUAUCCCAGUGAAAGUUUGACCAGAAACGUCUCGGUGCUCGGAAAAGAAGAGAAAAGAGCAAGUGAGUAUACGAAUCGGGAUAUUUUCGGCCUUGUUCCAUCUCAACCCGAAGUAGAAAGUGCAGCGACUGCUCUUCAAAAUUUUUUGAAAGCGAUUUCUUCAUCUGAGUCGGGAUUUAACCAGCAGCUGAAAACGUUGGGAUAUGGUGAUAUCAAAAAAUCGCUAUCUCAUGGAUAUGGAAGAGUUGAGAAUGCUUUUCGUUUGCUGCAAACAGAGCCAAGUAUUAAGAGACUGGUGAUAUCUCUAUCAUCUGAUAAAGCUGUGUGGGAUGCUGUUAUGAAUAACGAGGUCGUGCGGCAGCUGCGAGAGUCAUUCAUCGAUCCAGGUUUAACAACCUUUGAUGAAGCAGAGUUUUAUUAGCUUAACAUUGAGCUUAAUUGCGUUUGUGGAUAACUUCCCUUGCUUCUCUUGUUUCACAUUAUCUAUUUCCACAGGCGUAAACCGUAGGAUACCAAGCUGUGCCGAAGAACAGGAUGUGGGUACCUGUGUGUUGAGAUGGAUUAUGGACAUCACCAAAGCCCAAGUUACUCUUCUUAUCCAGAAAUUUCAGCAGUUGAUGAACGAGAUUUUCCAACCUUCAGAAAGGGAGAAAGAGAGAGUCACAGAAGGAAGCAUAGAUGAGAUGGAUGACAUAAUUAGAUCAUCGUUGCUUCUCUCCAUUGUAAUCCUCUUGAUUGUAGUUGUGGCAAGGAUUCAUGGGGCUUAACCACACGAUCACAGAAUAAUAGUAAUGUUUUCAUAUAUUAAAGUGAUCACAGAAUAAUAGUAAUGUUUUCAUAUAUUAAAGUGCGCUUUUGUUUUAGAAACUGCUUAAAAGCCAAACUAAAAUACUCCUCGCUGAGCAUUUCACAAGUGCAGUGAUUUCAGUCAGCAACAUACUCGUGCAGAACAUACUGAAAAUGUCAGGAUAGCCAUUCUUAUCAAGGAACAUCAUUCUUAUGCACCAUAGUUCAUCUCUUUUCUUAAUGUACGAAUAAAAAGUCAAAUGAAACAAGGUUCAACUAAUCAUUUUCUUCUUUUCUUUUUUGGGUAAAUUGCCAUAGCUCUUUUCUGAUUUCACAAUUAACUCAACUUGGCAUAAGCUUCAAAUCUGUGAAGACACGAGUAUAUAAACCCACGAUCAAGACAUCCAAUAUUUUGGACCCAUCAGCUCGCGAUCUGCUGCAGUACCUUGAGUGGCAAGCUUCUGAAUGCGUGAAGAGAAUUCCUCAGCCUUCUCAUCAAUCCACAUCAAAGAACUUAGUUGAUUGUUCAAGAUUCGGACAACCACAUCCAAUGGAGUCAUCCUAUCAAUUGUGUCCAGAUCACCACCCUGGCUGGAGUUCAGGGUGUCAAUAACAGAUUUUAUCUGUUCAGUCAUCUGCUCUAGUUCCCUCCCUAUAAGCUCAGCUUGCUCAUACAUUGCAUCUCGAGUUGAUGCAGCUUCAUCAUCAAGAAGCAACCCACGCUCAUCCUUGUAAAUACGUUCAGCUUCCUCUUCCAUACUCUGCAAGGCCUUAUCAACCUCCUGUUGAUGGGUCUCAAUUAACUCCAAUUGCCGUUCCAAGUUAGCUUGUGUCUCAACCACUUUUGCCACCUCAAUCUCAAGCCUAAGAAGAACAUCACGAUUGUGCAAGAUUCUCUUAUCCCAUUCAGCUAUUGCAGCAGCUUGCUUCCGAAAUUUCCCAGUACGCUCUUGAAGCUCAGCAUUCCACUCUUUGAUUAUCUCCUCAACGGUCUUGCCUGUAAUCUCAGAUGGCAAUUUUGGUGUAGCAGAUACAGCAGUGGUGGUAACACUUGAACUUGUCCCACUGCUGGAAGGCACAGCAAGAGAAAGUGUCAUCUGAGAUGUGGUAGUACUGGAAAUGGAAGUUGUUGCAGCUGCAGAAGUAGAAGUAGGGGCACCUGCAGAAUGUUUUGUGUCAGAUGUGAGAACUUAAAUCCGGAACUUGAUCUAGAGUCUAGACUCCUUAAGAUCCAAACAAGAUGCGACCACAAAAAACAAAAAAAUAAAUAGAUGAAAUGAAUAAAUCUCAAAUAUGUAGAACAUUUGAGAAUGCCCAUAAAGAUGAUGAUUCUCCGGCAAAAGAAGGGGAGAAAAAGGAACUAUAAGUUGUUUAAAAUAGGCAAUGGAGACGCUAUCAUUUUGCUCAGUGAAUUAAAAAGCUACAAUCGCCUUUUUUUUUUCUUGAAUGAACCAUCACUACUCACUAGCAUAGCCUAAAAACCCAAGCAACUUUCACUUGAGGAAAGAGGGCAUGCUAAAAUGCAUCAAAUGAGAGGGUACCACAUCUCAACUUGACUACCAAAUUGAACUGAGAUUUUUCUUUAAUCUACUCACUAGUUGUCACUUGUCAUAAUGAAAUAAAACACUAAGGCCACAGCAAUCAAGCAUUAUUACUUAGUCACAUGUAACUCCAAUUGUUAUAACUUAUAACCACAAAAACAAGAAAUUGGAAAGACCAACAUCUGCUUCUUUUACUAAUUUAGUAGAAAUCCACUUAUCAACUCAUAAGCAAGUAAAAAUCAUAAACACAACACUUCAGGCGUACAAUAAUCAUCAUAUAACAAUAGAAUAUCUCAAGCAGGAAGAAGAGUUUAAAACACUCGCUGAAUAAGGAUGCAGCAAUCGUUGAUUGAGCUUGUGAUGUUGUCACUGGUACUGAUGGUUUGAUUGAUAAGGAAAAUCCUGUGUACGAACUAGUACUCCCCGAUGAAGCUGCUGUAGCGGACACUCCAAAACCAGUAAAGGAACUUGUAGUCCCAGAAGAAGCAGCUGUGGUAGCUGAAGUAGCAAAAGAAGAAGAACUCACACCAGAUGCAGGUAAAGUAAGCGUUGAAGCUGUAGCAGAAGAAGAAGCCACUGAAAUACCAGCAGCUGGAGUAAAAGCACUUGUGGUCGUGACUGUAGAAAACAAUGGCGAUAGAGAUGUUGGUUUUGCAGCAAGUGUGGUGGAGACAGUAGGGGCAGAUGAAGAAGCUGCAUUGCUAAAGCUGAAGGAAGAUUGAGACGAUGCGGAAGAUGGUGUCCCAAAUGAAAUGGUAGAAGCGCUUGCUGAAGAUGCAGAAGACGGUGUCCCAAAUGAGAAGCCUGAAGUGCUUGCUGAUGAAGUUUGUGUCGAAGGAGCCGCUGUAGAUGCAGUAGUUGGUGUUGAACUUGGAGUGGUUUUUGGUAAGGAAAAUCCUGAUGAAGCGGUGGAGAAAGGCAAAGCGAAGCUUGAAUUCGAAGAGGAAAUUGAAGAGAACAAAUUAGACGAGAAUGUAGUAGUUGAAGCUGAUGUAGACGAGGCAAACAAGUUAGAUGUAGUAGUGGCAGCUGAAGCACCAGAUGACCCAAACAGGGACGGCCCAGAAUUUGUAGUGGAUGAAGACGUCCCAAAAUGUAAUGAACCUGAACUUGCAGCGGAGGAGGAUGUACCAAACGGGAAUGGUCCAGAACUGGCCGCAGACGAAGUUGUUGGGAACAAAGAUGGGGUAGAACUUGCCGCAGACGAAGUUGUUGCGAAUAAAGAUGGGGUAGAACUUGCCGCAGACGAAGUUGUUGCGAAUAAAGAUGGGGUAGAACUUGCCGCAGACGAAGUUGUUGCGAAU
Molecule: unclassified non-coding RNA, 3895 nt
Filed under: Hevea brasiliensis (rubber tree)
Lineage: Eukaryota; Viridiplantae; Streptophyta; Magnoliopsida; Malpighiales; Euphorbiaceae
Source: RNAcentral